UACGUAGGGUGCAAGCGUUAUUCGGAAUUACUGGGCGUAAAGCGUGCGCAGGCGGUUAUGUAAGUCAGUUGUGAAAUCCCCGGGCUCAACCUGGGAACUGCAUCUGUGACUGCAUCGCUGGAGUGCGGCAGAGGGGGAUGGAAUUCCGCGUGUAGCAGUGAAAUGCGUAGAUAUGCGGAGGAACACCGAUGGCGAAGGCAAUCCCCUGGGCCUGCACUGACGCUCAUGCACGAAAGCGUGGGGAGCAAACAGG
RNAcentral lists this ribosomal RNA (253 nucleotides) under uncultured bacterium. RNAcentral's name for it is "partial 16S ribosomal RNA". It matches the Rfam family "Bacterial small subunit ribosomal RNA", at positions 524 to 776 of the family's 1533-position model. The record is from RNAcentral.